AAUUAAGUAAUUGUGUUUAUUAGGUUAACUAAGCUUUAUAUAAAACAGAGGUUACUAAGAAUUAUUAUUUUAAAUACAAUUAUAAUGGUGUGGAUUUUAUCAAAUCGAGGUAUUUAGUAAAUGAUUUUAAGCUUAAAAAGAAAAGAAAAAAAAACCUCAUUCUUUGAGUUCUCAUUGUUCCUCAUGUCAUCAAUCCAAAAAGCCACAACAACACUUCUUCUCAUUCGUGUCAAAUAAGAGUUCUCUAAGAUUUUGAGUUGUCAAUUACAACUCUCUUAAAAAGCUUCUCAAUAUCACAUAUCAAUUUUAGAAAUUCAGCAACUUGAUGAUCCAAAAUUCAACUUCACAUUCGAAUUGGUUGAGAAAUCAAAUUCUUAAAUUGUUUUCUCUCUCUUCUGGGUUUUUGGUUGUUGUUUCGUCUGUUGCUGCUGGCGGUGCACCACCCUAUUCGGUGUUGCCGCCGUGUCGUGAUUAGCGCUGCCAUUUUGGUUGUUGUCGGUUGUUCUUCAAGUCCAAUGUUCUCUCUCCUCUGCUUCGGUGUUGCUGCUGUCGUCCGGUUGGUGUUCCGACGCCUCCGGGCUGUUGUUGCAACCUUGCUACUGUUGGUGGUGCAAUGUUGCUGGUGGUGCAGUGGGUAACCGCUAUUGUCUUUAUUCUUUCAUUCUAUUUCCUCUGCAUUUGUGUCGGUGUUGAUGACUUGAUUUCUGGCUUCACUUACUGCACUCUUGGGUAAAGAAAACCCCAAAUCAGUGUUGGAAAAUUUUGUCAAAGGUAUAAUGAAGUUAUGUUUUCUUAUACUCUGUUUUCAAUGAUGGAAUCAAAGUCUUACAUUAUAGAAUCGAUUGGUGUCUUAGUUAAUUGUUGCAAAUCUGGUAUAAUGACAAUUGUUAUGGUAUGGUUAAAAUGAUCAUUGUACUGAAGACAAUUAGUGUUGCUAAGUGGAGUAAGAUUUAUGAAUACUAGAUAAAGACUAUUAACUUUAUUUAUGAAAUUCUCUAAUUAGUAAGCAUAUGGAUACAUCAUAAAGUCAACGAUUAUGAGGAGUUACAUGAUUUCGUUUUGGCUAUUGGAUUUAAUAUAGAAUGGUAAAAAAAAAACUUUGUAUAAAAGACCAUCAUAGUUCUGCAAUCAGGAAUUGGUUCAAGGAGUACUUUAUUGUUUUAGGGAAUGAUCUGUCAUGAAGGUUUUUGGAAUUUAUAUUGGAAUUAGACUAGUUGGUGUCUAAAUAAAAGUGAUCAAUAUAAUAUAUAUAUAUGGGUGUUCAAUUAGUAGUACAUGGAAGUGUUAUAAAAAUAUCAAUUGAAUAAGUUAUGGGUUUCUAGUUAAGCCAUAAGGUGUAUUUACUAUACUAAUGAUAAUUAUUGUUGUUGAGGUGAAUUAUUGUGGAGUUCAAGCCAGAGUUGAUGAUCGAGUAUCUAUGAUCUUGGGAGUUAUUAAUUGAGAAUUAGUUGUGGUUGAGGUGUAUGUUUGGAUUUCUGGAAGAAUCAAGAGAAAGAGUUUUCAGUUAAGAGAUGGAAAAUAAAUUAGAGAUUCGAAGUUAGAUAUAGAAUAUAAGUUAUUAAAUAUUAAGUUCUCAUUUGGUGUUCAAUAUUUUAUUGUUUUGGGAAUAAAGUAAAUUGUAAUCUGUUAUUGGUUGUGAAGUUCUAUUUUUUGUGGGCCCAUAACCCACAGGUCCAGGAUCGAGUAAUAAGGUUUUGUUUCCGCUGCGAGUAAAUAGUUAAUUCAAGGUUAUUAAGUGCUAA
This is a long non-coding RNA of Beta vulgaris subsp. vulgaris (sugar beet), 1742 nucleotides long. RefSeq lists it as uncharacterized. The transcript is spliced from 2 exons. Lineage: Eukaryota; Viridiplantae; Streptophyta; Magnoliopsida; Caryophyllales; Amaranthaceae. The record is from RefSeq and is a predicted model, not a curated record.